AUGAGGCCCGCACGCCAGUGGAAGCCCCGGAGGAAGGUGUCCAUGCGGUGCGGGCUGCGGGCGGACUGGGCGCGGUGUAAAGGCCACGUGGGAAUGGGCCUCGCGCCCUUCUAUAUAUCCGCCUUCGGGCCGCCCGGUCUGCACCGCACCGCACUGCACGACAGCCAUCUCUUCCGUGCGGUUCCAAGCUCCAACUCCCACGCCCGUCUCCCCCGAGAUCAGGAGGAGCACGCCGCACCGGAGCGCCGAGACCUCGAAGCCUUCGUCUCCACCUCGGUGAGCGCCGCUGCCUUCAGCUUCCCCCCUUAA
This 309-nucleotide ribosomal RNA is filed under the name Triticum aestivum (bread wheat). RNAcentral describes it as "partial small subunit ribosomal RNA". The record is from RNAcentral. Lineage: Eukaryota; Viridiplantae; Streptophyta; Magnoliopsida; Poales; Poaceae.